UAGAGUUUGAUCCUGGCUCAGAACGUACGCUGGCGGCACGCCUAACACAUGCAAGUCGAACGAAGUAGCAAUACUUAGUGGCAGACGGGUGAGUAACAUGUAGGUAUCUGCCCUUUGGCCUGGAAUAACACGAGGAAACUUGUGCUAAUACCGGAUAAGUCUUUACGGAGAAAGCUUUAUGCACCAUUGGAUGAGCCUGCACUUGAUUAGUUUGUUGGUGGGGUAAUGGCCUACCAAGACUGUGAUCAAUAGCUGAUUUGAGAGGAUGAUCAGCCACAUUGGGACUGAGACACGGCCCAAACUCCUACGGGAGGCAGCAGUGGGGAAUCUUGCACAAUGGAGGAAACUCUGAUGCAGCGAUGCCGCGUGAGUGAAGAAGGCCCUUGGGUUGUAAAGCUCUUUCGUCGGGGAAGAAAAUGACUGUACCCGAAUAAGAAGGUCCGGCUAACUUCGUGCCAGCAGCCGCGGUAAUACGAAGGGACCUAGCGUAGUUCGGAAUUACUGGGCUUAAAGAGUUCGUAGGUGGUUGAAAAAGUUGGUGGUGAAAUCCCAGAGCUUAACUCUGGAACUGCCAUCAAAACUUUUCAGCUAGAGUAUGAUAGAGGAAAGCAGAAUUUCUAGUGUAGAGGUGAAAUUCGUAGAUAUUAGAAAGAAUACCAAUUGCGAAGGCAGCUUUCUGGAUCAUUACUGACACUGAGGAACGAAAGCAUGGGUAGCGAAGAGGAUUAGAUACCCUCGUAGUCCAUGCCGUAAACGAUGUGUGUUAGACGUUGGAAAUUUAUUUUCAGUGUCGCAGCAAAAGCGAUAAACACACCGCCUGGGGAGUACGACCGCAAGGUUAAAACUCAAAUGAAUUGACGGGGACCCGCACAAGUAGUGGAGCAUGUGGUUUAAUUCGAAGAUACGCGCAGAACCUUACCAACACUUGACAUGUUCGUCGCGACUCUAAGAGAUUAGAGUUUUCGGUUCGGCCGGACGAAACACAGGUGCUGCAUGGCUGUCGUCAGCUCGUGUCGUGAGAUGUUGGGUUAAGUCCCGCAACGAGCGCAACCCUCACUUUUAGUUGCCAUCAUUUAGUUGGGCACUCUGAAAGAACUGCCAGUGAUAAGCUGGAGGAAGGUGGGGAUGACGUCAAGUCCUCAUGGCCCUUACGUGUUGGGCUACACACGUGCUACAAUGGUAUCUACAACAGGAAGCAAAACGGCGACGUUAAGCAAAUCCUUAAAAGAUACCUCAGUUCGGAUUGCACUCUGCAACUCGAGUGCAUGAAGCUGGAAUUACUAGUAAUCGUGGAUCAGCGUGCCACGGUGAAUGCGUUCCCGGGUCUUGUACACACCGCCCGUCACACCAUGGGAGUUGGUUCUACCUUAAGGCAAGGUUUAAAACCCUUGACCACGGUAUAGUCAGCGACUGGGGUGAAGUCGUAACAAGGUAACCA
Molecule: ribosomal RNA, 1438 nt
Filed under: uncultured bacterium
Lineage: Bacteria
Description: bacterial SSU rRNA
Rfam family: Bacterial small subunit ribosomal RNA
Source: RNAcentral